GCGGUUCGGACGCCGGGCUCGGGGCGCGCGGACUCAGUGACUGUGAGGGCCGGCUGCCGACGGCGCCACGGCAUUUUGAAACAUCCUCAGUGCAAGAGUGGACCAGGGAAAACAAACAACCGAACCCCAAAAAGCAAUGUCUCCCAGGUGCUGGGGUCUCUGGGUCAGGAGAGGAUCCCAAGAAGACAGCUGGGAGCCUGUGCCUACCUGGGUUUGGUGCCCUCCUCAGCGGAGAAGCUCUCUCGGAAAGGCAGCACUCAGCAGAAGACACCAGGAGCGGUUUUUGAGAGGCCCCAGCCCGGCGGACUAAAGAAGGGAGCGAGUAUGUCCCCAGCACUGUCCCCACUGCUGCUGCUAAGUUGUUUCAGUCGUGUCCAACUCUGUGCAACCCCAUGGAUGGCAGCCCACCAAGCUCUUCCGUCCACAGGAUUCUCUAGGCAAGAAUACUGGAGUGGGUUGCCAUUUCCUUCUCCACAGCGCUGUCCCAGGACCUGGCAUCUAGCAGGGACUUAACAAGCAGCUGAGUGAAGGAAGGAGAUGCACAUGAAACAGCUGAGUGCCCCCUCCCGCCUCAGAGAUACCCAGCGACCUGGAAGCUGGCCUUCAGCAGACCCUGCCGCCACUCAGGUCUCAGACUCCCAGCC
Molecule: long non-coding RNA, 644 nt
Organism: Cervus elaphus (red deer)
Lineage: Eukaryota; Metazoa; Chordata; Mammalia; Artiodactyla; Cervidae
Exons: 3
Source: RefSeq, a predicted model, not a curated record